CACGUAGUUAGCCGGUGCUUAUUCUUACGGUACCGUCAUGGGCCCCCCGUAUUAGAAGGAGCUUUUUCGUUCCGUACAAAAGCAGUUUACAACCCGAAGGCCUUCAUCCUGCACGCGGCAUUGCUGGAUCAGGCUUUCGCCCAUUGUCCAAAAUUCCCCACUGCUGCCUCCCGUAGGAGUCUGGGCCGUGUCUCAGUCCCAGUGUGGCUGGUCGUCCUCUCAGACCAGCUACAGAUCGUCGGCUUGGUAAGCUUUUAUCCCACCAACUACCUAAUCUGCCAUCGGCCGCUCCAAUCGCGCGAGGCCCGAAGGUCCCCCCGCUUUCAUCCUCAGAUCGUAUGCGGUAUUAGCUACUCUUUCGAGUUAGUUACUCCCCCACGACUGGGCACGUUCCGAUGUAAUUCUCACCCGUUCGCCACUCGUCAGCGUCCGAAGACCUGUUACCGUUCGACUUGCAUGUGUAAGGCAUGCCCGCCAGGCGUUCAACUCCGGAGCCGAAGGAUCCAAAACGUCUUCUAGGACGACGUCG
This 529-nucleotide ribosomal RNA is filed under the name uncultured Delftia sp. RNAcentral's name for it is "partial 16S ribosomal RNA". Lineage: Bacteria; Pseudomonadati; Pseudomonadota; Betaproteobacteria; Burkholderiales; Comamonadaceae. The record is from RNAcentral.